UAGCCAGGCUGGUCUCGAACUCCUGGCCUGAGGUGAUUCACCCACCAUGGCCUCCCAAAGUACUGGGAUUAUAGGCAUGAACUACCAUUCCCAGUUUGUUGUUUUUUUUGUUUGUUUGUUUUUUGUUUUUUGAGAUAGAGUAUCACUCUGUCGCCCAGGCUACAGUGCAGUGGAACGAUCUCCACUCACUUCAGUCUUCACCUCCCAGGUUCAAACGAUUCUUAUGCCUCAGCCUCCCUAGUAGCUGGGAUUACAGAUGCAUGCCACCACACCUGGCUAAUUUUUAUAUUCUUUGGUAGAAAUGGGGUUUCACCAUGUUGGCCAGGCUGGUCUUGAACUCCUAGCCUCAGCUGAUCUGCCUGCCUCAGCCUCCCAAAGUGAUGGGAUUACAGGCAAGCAUGAGCCAUUGCACCCAGCCUAAUUUUUGUAUUUUAGUUGAGAUGGGGUUUCACCAUGUUGGGCAGGAUGGUCUUUAACCCCUGACCCCAGGUGAUCCAUGGCCUUGGCCUUCCAUAGUAUUGGGAUUACAGGUAUGAGCCGAUGCACCUGACCCUUGUUCUGAUAUUUAGGUCUUAAAAAUAGACCCUGUUAUAGUCUGUAGUUUCCAAUGUACAGGUUUCACACAUCUUUCAUUAGAUUUAUUCCUGGGCUGGGCGCGGUGGCUCACGCCUGUAAUCCUAGCACUUUAGGAGGCCGAGGUGGCAGAUCACCUGAGGUUAGGAGUUCAAGACCAGCCUGGC
Molecule: long non-coding RNA, 740 nt
Filed under: Callithrix jacchus (white-tufted-ear marmoset)
Lineage: Eukaryota; Metazoa; Chordata; Mammalia; Primates; Cebidae
Description: lncRNA (ENSCJAG00000080307.1)
Source: RNAcentral